RNAcentral lists this long non-coding RNA (979 nucleotides) under Gossypium barbadense (sea-island cotton). Its description in RNAcentral is "long non-coding RNA (GBAR_LNC022211)". Lineage: Eukaryota; Viridiplantae; Streptophyta; Magnoliopsida; Malvales; Malvaceae. The record is from RNAcentral.
GGACCGGACAGUUCGUCCGGAGGGAUGUGAGAUGUGGAGUCCGCGAUGAUCCAAUUCGAAUUCAGGUAGUGGGUAUGGUUAAACUCUUGGCGGACCAUUUCCUCCUUCUGCCACUCUUCCCAUCUUUCAGCCAAGCCGUCUCCUUCAAGCAUUCUGACCACUUCGGCCAUCUUCGGCCUGUCCAUUGGGGAGCCUUGAGUGCAUAAAAGAGCUAUCUGGAUUAGCUGUUCCACUUCUUCUUCUAUGUAAUUACUAUCAAGAUCGGAAUCGACCAGCGUUUCCAGCUUCCUGUCUUUCAAAAGCCCUUUUACCUGAAAUGCGAGCAUUGUAAUCAACUUGAAGCUAAAAAGUGGAAUGAAAUGACGUGUACCAGUACUGAGCUUGACUCGAAUUUAAUUGACAAAUAGGUCAAUCUUAGGGGCAUAAAAUAUCAGGCGGCACAGAUCAAGAUCAAGCUUAUCGAAAUUAUAUAAGAGUUUAAUUUUGAUUCAAGUGUACUGCUUUUCCAUUUUCAUCGUGCAAGGAAAAUAAAGUUAAGCUUCGCUCUGUUAAUACUGUAGUUAGUGUAUUGCUUUUGGCCAACCAAGUGAAUAAGAAUCGGAUAAAUAAAAACUAGACAAGGAUGACAAAACUCGAUCUUUGAAAUGCAUCACCAUUGAGAUAUGCAUGAUAGGAAGAUAGUACAUACCCAAUCAAGCAACAUGACAUCGUCAUCAUUUGCAAGCCUAGCAAGAUCGAAGGCCCUCUGUCCAGUAAUUAGUUCAAGAAGCAUAACGCCAUACCCGAAAACAUCAGUUUUCUCUGAUGACUUUCCAGUUGAAAGGUAUUCAGGGGCUAUAUGACCAAUUGUGCCACGAACAGCAGUUGUGACAUGAGUAUCUUUAUAGUCCAUCAGUUUGGCCAGCCCAAAGUCUCCAACAACUGCUUCGAAUUCCUCGUCCAACAAUAUGUUUGCGGCCUUCACAUCGCGAUGUAUAAU